Molecule: non-coding RNA, 594 nt
Filed under: Pan troglodytes (chimpanzee)
Lineage: Eukaryota; Metazoa; Chordata; Mammalia; Primates; Hominidae
Source: RNAcentral
GAAAAUAUAUGGGCUGAAUGUCUUUCUAUUUGCUCUUUAAAGACCUUGCACAAAUAAUGAUGAUGACUGGGAUUUUUUUUUCAUGGAAAAAAAACCCAGAAAUGGUGAGGGUACCUGGAGAGGCCAAGGUGAAGGCAUUACUUCUUAAUUUAUUGAUACUGAGUUGCAUCCACCCCAGGGAGCUGGUGCUGCCUAUCCUCCGAGGACCAAAACAGCUGGAGGCUAAAGCAGCUAAUAGCAGAGGCGCCUGUGGCUACAGAGGCUGUUUGAACCCUGGGCUCUGGCAGUAAGCACUGCACUGAUCUGGAAGGAAAAGACAUGGGGCAGGACUGAGACUCUGCUGGGAAAGCAUCAAUGAUUUAGUUAAGAAGAACUAAAACAGCGAAUUCCAUAAUGGGAGGUUUUGCCUAUGACUUUCUUCUAGGGUGUAAGUUGGUUCCGCAUCAUAAUGUAAUUAUAUAUUUUUCACUUUUUUAAUUGACAGAUAACAUUUUAUGUUUUUAUCAUGUACAACAUGAUGUUUUGAAGUACAUAUACAAAAUGGAAAGGUUAAAUCUAGCUCAUCAACAAAUGAACUCACACAGUUAUCACUUU